Molecule: long non-coding RNA, 1064 nt
Filed under: Macaca mulatta (Rhesus monkey)
Lineage: Eukaryota; Metazoa; Chordata; Mammalia; Primates; Cercopithecidae
Description: lncRNA (ENSMMUG00000063022.1)
Source: RNAcentral
GUUUUGCCCAAGAGAGGCUCACAGUUUGGUGAGGAAGACAGAUGAUAAAAGAGGGCAGAUAGGUUUUGAGCUAGUGUAAUUAGUUUUAAAAGGAAAGUAAGCAUACAGACCUUUGGUAAUAAGAGAAGCAAGCACAUCAACUAAUCUUGGGGGGUAAAAAAAGAGAAGACUUCUCUUUUUUUAUCUGGUUCCUGAGAUAAGAACUGAAGGACAAAGAAAAGUGAACAGGAUGGAAAGAAGAAGAAAAGAUGCUCCUGGGAAAGCACAGCUUGAGAAAAUAUAUGGAGGUGCUAGGUUCCGAUUUUGGAGCCGUGUACAAUUCAUUCAUUGUACUGCCUACUUGGUACUACCUCCAUUUCAAAACCUGCCAUACUCAUCUAUAUGAAAGAGCUGCCAUGUUUCUAGAAGACUCCACUCUCUUAGAGUCCACUGGGCUUGAGUCACCCAACACAAGAUAGGCUCAGCGAUCACCACCCGAGGACUUUAACUUAAGAUCAAGUGGUGGCUGAAACUGUAAGAUGAUGAACUCAAGAAUUGUUUCCAGUAGUAAAGCCGGUGAUGUUCAAACAUGAUGCCCUUCCCAUCAAGAGAUGGGUCUGUGGCCCCUCCCUUGAAUCUAGCCAACACUUUUUGAUUAACUUGAUGAAUAAACUAUGGCAGAAGUGGCUUUCAAGGUUCUGUUAGAAAAGAUCAUGCACCCUCUGCCAUUUUUCCUUGGGACACCAAUCACUGAAGCCUUGAGCCACCAUGUAAGAAUUUUGGCUACCCUGAAAUUGCUAUACUAGAGUGACCACAUAGACAGACUACAGAGUGGUAGAGAGAGAGAUAGCAGAGGGGCACCGGCUAUCUCAUCCCUCAACCCAGGUGCCAGGUAUGAGAGUAAGAAAGAUGACUUCAACUGCAGCCAACAUCAGUCAAAUGGCAACCACAUGAAAAAACUGAGGAUUAGCCAACUGGCCGUGCCAAGGUAACCCUCAGAAUCAUGAGAGAUAAUAAUGAUAAAUGCUUGUUGAUGCAAUAAUAAAUAAGCAACAUAGAAAAGCUCUUCUGUAAAGAGAGAGAAA